UAACAACUUUCAGCAGUGGAUGUCUAGGCUCGCACAUCGAUGAAGAACGCUGCGAACUGCGAUACGUAAUGCGAAUUGCAGGAUUCAGUGAGUCAUCGAAAUUUUGAACGCAUAUUGCACUUCCGGGUUAGUCCUGGA
This 138-nucleotide ribosomal RNA is filed under the name Bremia lactucae (lettuce downy mildew). RNAcentral describes it as "partial 5.8S ribosomal RNA". It matches the Rfam family "5.8S ribosomal RNA", at positions 1 to 133 of the family's 154-position model. From Rfam's summary of the family: 5.8S ribosomal RNA (5.8S rRNA) is a component of the large subunit of the eukaryotic ribosome. It is transcribed by RNA polymerase I as part of the 45S precursor that also contains 18S and 28S rRNA. RNAcentral also lists the same sequence under 3 other names. Lineage: Eukaryota; Oomycota; Peronosporomycetes; Peronosporales; Peronosporaceae. The record is from RNAcentral.